UUUAUGGAGAGUUUGAUCCUGGCUCAGGAUGAAUGCUGGCGGCGUGCCUAACACAUGCAAGUCGAGCGGCAGCGAGUUCUGCACUGGCUUUUUCUCUCCUUUUGAGGUAAGAAUGAAAAAAAUUAUUUUUAGUCAAGAGGGUAAAAUGUGCGAAUAUGUAAAAUUAUCGUAGCGCGAAAGAGGAAAAGGUUGUGCAGAAUGUCGGCGAGCGGCGGACGGCUGAGUAACGCGUGGGAAUCUGCCCCAAAGUGAGGGAUAACUGCCCGAAAGGGUAGCUAAUACCGCAUAUGGUCUUCGGAUUAAAGUAUUUAUACGCUUUGGGAGGAGCCCGCGUUGGAUUAGGUUGUUGGUGAGGUAAUGGCUCACCAAGCCGACGAUCCAUAGCUGGUCUGAGAGGAUGAUCAGCCAGACUGGGACUGAGACACGGCCCAGACUCCUACGGGAGGCAGCAGUGAGGAAUCUUCCACAAUGGGGGCAACCCUGAUGGAGCAACGCCGCGUGCAGGAUGAAGGCCUUCGGGUUGUAAACUGCUUUUAUGAGUGAAGAAUAUGACGGUAACUCAUGAAUAAGCACCGGCUAACUACGUGCCAGCAGCCGCGGUCAUACGUAGGGUGCAAGCAUUAUCCGGAGUGACUGGGCGUAAAGAGUUGCGUAGGCGGUUAGUAAAGUGAAUAGUGAAACCUGGUGGCUCAACCAUACAGACUAUUAUUCAAACUCACUAACUCGAGAAUGGUAGAGGUAACUGGAAUUUCUUGUGUAGGAGUGAAAUCCGUAGAUAUAAGAAGGAACACCAAUGGCGUAGGCAGGUUACUGGACCAUUUCUGACGCUAAGGCACGAAAGCGUGGGGAGCGAACCGGAUUAGAUACCCGGGUAGUCCACGCCGUAAACGAUGGAUACUAGCUGUUUGGGGUAUCGACCCCCCAAGUAGCGAAGCUAACGCGUUAAGUAUCCCGCCUGUGGAGUACGGCCGCAAGGCUAAAACAUAAAGGAAUUGACGGGGACCCGCACAAGCGGUGGAUCAUGUUCUUUAAUUCGAUGAUAAACGAAGAACCUUACCAGGGUUUGACAUCCCGAGAAGGCCUCCGAAAGGAGACUGUGCUUUAUUGAACUCGGUGACAGAUGAUGCAUGGCCGUCGUCAGCUCGUGUCGUGAGAUGUUUGGUUAAGUCCAUCAACGAGCGCAACCCUUGUGAAUAGUUGUAUUUUUCUAUUCAGACUGCCCCGGUAACGGGGAGGAAGGAGGGGAUGAUGUCAGGUCAGUAUUUCUCUUACAUCCUGGGCUAGAAACGUGAUACAAUGGCAAGUACAAUGCGCAGCGAAGCCGCGAGGUGAAGCAAAUCGCACCAAAGCUUGUCCCAGUUCGGAUUGGAGGCUGAAACUCGCCUCCAUGAAGUCGGAAUCGCUAGUAAUCGUAGGUCAGCAAACUACGGUGAAUACGUUCCCGGGUCUUGUACACACCGCCCGUCAAACCAUGAAAGUGACCAACACCCGAAGUCCGAUUCGUCGGCCUAAGGUGGGGGGCAUGAUUGGGGUUAAGUCGUAACAAGGUAUCCGUACCGGAAGGUGCGGAUGGAUUACCUCCUUUCUAGGGA
RNAcentral lists this ribosomal RNA (1592 nucleotides) under Candidatus Saccharimonadota bacterium. RNAcentral describes it as "bacterial SSU rRNA". It matches the Rfam family "Bacterial small subunit ribosomal RNA". The record is from RNAcentral. Lineage: Bacteria; Candidatus Saccharimonadota.